This is a long non-coding RNA of Pelmatolapia mariae (spotted tilapia), 357 nucleotides long. RefSeq lists it as uncharacterized. The transcript has 4 exons. The record is from RefSeq and is a predicted model, not a curated record. NCBI's taxonomy places the organism in Eukaryota, Metazoa, Chordata, Actinopteri, Cichliformes, Cichlidae.
CCUCACAGCAGCGGUGACAAAUCCUCUGACACAGAAAUCACUGUGGUACAGUUUAAGGACUGUAAAUGAAGUCUUUGAGUCUUCAGAAAAUGGAAUUAUAACAAGCUGAGAAGCAAUGCCAAGAAAAAAAAAGUCCUGGAGACAAUGAAGGCAGUGGUGAAUUUCCUAAGCAAUCAGGACUAACGCUUCCUGGCAGAUGCUGAUACACAGAGCAGGGUGUGACGGCGGCCCGCUCCAUCACUCAUCUCCAUCCACACGCAUCAGUUCAGUCCUCAUGACGCUCAGAGAUGAGAAAUAAUUAAUUCAACAGCUACUGAAGCACAGAAUCACAUCCAUUCUGACUGCCACUGGCUAUUG